RNAcentral lists this ribosomal RNA (227 nucleotides) under uncultured bacterium. RNAcentral's name for it is "partial 16S ribosomal RNA". It matches the Rfam family "Bacterial small subunit ribosomal RNA", at positions 122 to 334 of the family's 1533-position model. The record is from RNAcentral.
UAAUCUACCUUACAGUUCGGAAUAACCUGACGAAAGUCGGGCUAAUACUGGAUAGAGCGACGGAAGCCGUAACGGUUUUUUCGGGAAAGGGAGCUCGAUAAGAGCCCUCGCUGUAAGAUGAGCCUGCGUCUGAUUAGUUAGUUGGUGGGGUAAUGGCCUACCAAGACGAUGAUCAGUAGCUGGUCUGAGAGGAUGAUCAGCCACACUGGAACUGAAACACGGUCCAG